This 72-nucleotide transfer RNA is filed under the name Amanita basii. RNAcentral's name for it is "tRNA-His". It matches the Rfam family "tRNA". Rfam says of the family: Transfer RNA (tRNA) molecules are approximately 80 nucleotides in length. Their secondary structure includes four short double-helical elements and three loops (D, anti-codon, and T loops). The record is from RNAcentral. Lineage: Eukaryota; Fungi; Basidiomycota; Agaricomycetes; Agaricales; Amanitaceae.
GGUAAAUUUAGUUUAAUGGUCAAAUGACGUUUUGUGGCGACGAUGUUAAGAGUUCGAUUCUCUUAUUUUACC